AAACCACAGCACUAUGCCAGCUACUAGGAAGAAGAUUAACUCUAUCUCAGCCAAAACCAGGACAAGCUGUAAACCCAUUGUCACACUGGCAUAUGCAAUAUACUACCCCUGAGAAACUGUCCUGAACGAGAAAGUGCUCCCCUGAGUGGGAAAAAACAAGAAAGGAUUCAUGACUUAGUCCAACGUGACCAUAAAGCAGGUACAUUAAAGAGGGCAACAUGAUCCAAAAACACCACAGUAAACCAGGAGACAGUCUAAUCCCAGUUUUGCUAUUGCCCUACUAUAUGUGACAGUCAGGUUUCAAUUUUCCCACCAGUAAAAUGACAAUAAUGUGACUUGCUUUUUUUUUUUUGCUUUUUUUUUUUCUGAAGAACUUAGUAAUUCAUAGCUGAAAAAUGAAAAGCAAAGAAAAGCAGUAAGAUCAAGGAGCAAUGAGAAAAGAUGCAACAGUGAUCCAAUAAGACUGUCACACUGCUGCAGAAGACAAUAUCAUAUCACAACCCAAUACCAUAAAAGUGGGGGAAAGAAUAUCAUGGGUUUUUAGUAUUAUUUUGCUGAAAAUGAAGGGUAUUUUAAUGAAUGAGAAAACGGGCUGAUUAUAGCAUAACAUGCAUGUACACCAGUUGCUCUCUAAAUACCUCACAUCUGUUGCAUUCAUGAGUCCGUAUGGGAAGUCCACAACUUGAGGAACUGGACAGAUUGUUCUCAUAUACAAAUCUUAAGAGGAAGGUUACCCUAAGCACUUCUUGUAACUGGCUCCCACUGUACUUACUGUACUCAGGAAUUCAAUAUUUUGAAGUCAUCAGCAAAGGAAGUUAAUACAUCUCAGUGCCUUAUCUGAAUUUCUCCCUGUAUUUGAAACCUAACCAGACUGUCUUUAGAUUUAUUUUUUUUUGACCCAGCUUUAUUUUCAACACUUUUAUCUCAGAAAUACUUAGAGAUCCCUAAAAGCCAGGAGUAUAUUCUUAAAUCUCUUUUAUAUCUGCCACAGACCUUCCUUCUCCCAACAGAUAUUCCAAUGUCCAACACACUAAUUUCCAUACUUGAAAUAUACAUCCAGGGAGACAUUUGACAGGAAUUUCCAACUCCAAUUAUUUCAUAGUAGCAGAAAAUUGGAUCUCUGAAAGAUAUAAUUUGAUGUGGCGAGUGGGGGGAAGAGGGGAGAUGAGGAUUGAUUUACAGUACUGUGGGAAGUGCCAGUGGCAUUCUUUAUUGUCACAGUGCUGUCAAACUGAGUAAAAUGCACUGCAAGUCAAAGGGAAAUAACAGUUGUGUAUUUAGACGACACAUUCACAGACUUUUGGUAGCUUAAAUUUGGCAGGUGGCAGUUAGAGUGAAACCUCGUGUUAGAGCCAAAUGGGCUUUUUAUAUUGCAUCUGUCCGAGACAGAGCGAGAUCUCUACAUGCCACAGUUCUCCUAAACUGUGAUCCACUCUCCAACACAACUUAAGAAGUAGCCGAUGCCUUUCAGCACUUAGGGAUUUUCUGAAAAACGCAUUUUCAUAUGUAUGUUAUGAGCAUAUGUGAAAACUUCAAGCAAAUGGACCAGAUGCUGAUUUCAUUUACACUGAAUUAAAUCUGGAAAGGCUUCAGUGCUUUUACACUUCAUUUUCCACAGUGCAACCACAGCAGACUUCUGACUACUGUCUGUUUCUCCUAAAAGGAAACUUUUUAGGGUAAAUGUCAUUGCUCUGGACACAUUUAGUACCUCAGGCUGAAGGCAAAUCCUACCUCUGAAACAGUCAAAGUCCAAUAUGAGCAAAUGUUUUCAGAGAGCAGGAUACUAGCAGUUCUCUAUACCUAAACAUAUGGGUAAAAUAUAAAAAUGACAGCGGAUGUUUAUGGAAACAUAAUUUAUGGCAACAAUGCAAAAGGAAAUAACAGAGACGCUCUCUUCCACCUAGGAUUGCUGUCAUUCUGGUUACAUGCUACUUUCUUCACGUCUUGCCCCUGUCUGUUGUUUUGUGUCUGUAAACACCGUUUAAAAGCUUCCGCCUUGUCUACACAGGUGCCUAAAUUUAUGUCUAUCAGACUCUUUUAUGGACUCCAAAAGGUUUUCUGAGGUUCAAAACAAGAGUUACAUAGCUCAACGAUAAGAGUCCUCCAAGGGCUAGCAAGCACAAAGUUACCACCUCUGCCUCUGGAAGUCCCCAACCUGAAGCAUUGCUAUCACUGCUUCUUACACUGUUCCUUCAGUACCCACUGUUGACCAUGGUUGAGGACAGGACUUUAUGGAUACCCAAUAGAACCAGUCUCGUUGUACUGUAAAUUAUAGAUAAGAUGGUUUCUAUUUCUAUUAAUUUGGGGAGGAAGUGAGAUACUCUAAAAAAGGUGGAAAUGAGUAUCCUAUGAACUGCAACACCCAGAAAAUUUCCCUUUGUUUCAAAAGCAGGGCCAUUAGCAUGCAUUUAUGCCUGGGAACUAAUUCCCCAUGUGAGGAGGGUCAAACCCUGCCCCUGUCAAAUCUCAGUCUCACCUCACUUCUUUUCUCAGAACUUUUUCUAUUCACAGAGACUGAGAACAAACCAACGUGAUCCCCCAAGGACUCAUGAUCAUCCUCCUCCAGUUCCACUGGGUUUUUUCUAGACUUUCCUAGUCCUCAUGCCCCCACUUCCAGAACUUUAGAUAUCUCUAGUGGUUUCCAUGUGACUCUUUGGCCUUUGCUGAUUUCUCCUGACAAGGCUUUUUUCUUCUGACAGGUCAAGAGAAUUUCAUCCUCAGACAGUCUACAGCUUUCGUUAACAGGCAGAAAGCUAAAUCCCUUUGACAUAUAGGAGAAGCGACACAUAUUUGGUUAGGAAGGAACAAUCUUGGCAUUACUGUGUUUCAAGGUUGCAACAAACAUCUCAGACUGUGUGUGUAUUCCUGAGGCUCUUGUCUGAUGGCAAGAACCAAAGCCUCCCUUCAGUGUUGGCUGAAUUCUGACUGGGUUCAUUCCUGAUUGAGACAAUGCUUAUAUGGACUGACAGCAGUUUUCCCAGUGCAAUGAAGGUAAAAUCUGGCUUCUAUAUCUUGAGGGUCCUGUUUUACAUAAAUAUGCAUAUGUAUUUGUAUAUAUGAUCCCCUUCCUGCAGAGACAGGUGGGACACGCUGCAAAUAUUGUCCAGUGACAAUACUGCUGACAUGUAACUCCACUGGGACUGUUGGUAAGCACUGGAGUUACAGAAAGGUGCAGAAUUUCUUUGCAGCUAUUUCAUAAGCAUUUUCCCAGCUAAAAUAUAUAUAUAUAUUACUGUGAAAUACAGAUAAAAACCAGUAUGAGAGAGCAUUAAAGGAUAAGUCACAAGACAGCUGCACCUGGUAAUGCCAAAAAAAUAGCAGCAACAAACUAAAGAUGCUCCAAGCAACAAUAAUUUGUGACCCUGUGCCAAUACACACCGGGGCAGAAGAAAACAACUUGUUCCAAAGCUGCUAUUGGGGAUCUGACAUGUUUAUCUAUUUGGCCCACAUGUGGCUGUGUCUUCUAGCACUGACAGCUCCUGCAGGUUGGCAGCUUUUCAAAAGCUUGUCAGCCCUUGAUAGCAUUCCUAUUCCUGCAGAGAUGGGCGGGUCGCACUGCGGAUUACACAGCGAUAAUGGUGCUGACAUAUAACCCCGCUUGCACUGCUAGCGAGCACAGGACUUACAGAAAGGUGCACAGUUUCUUUGCAGCUAUUUCAUAAGUGUUUACCCAGCUGACAACAUUUUGUAUUUGGUAUUUAUUUAGUUUAAGGAGUAAAAUAACAAAGGCCUUAGGCAAACUCACAAAGUAAUCUUUCCAGCAGAAUCACAGAGCUUAGGAUUCCUAUAGAUUUUGUUCUCCAGCUUUCCAACCUCUCAUGCUAUUAAACAUGUAUGUUUGUUUUACACUGCACUUCUACUGGUUAUGGCAUAGCUGUCUUCAGAUUUAUUGUCCACAUUUGCAAAGCCCUGAUAAAUGUAGGCUGCUGCUCUUUUCUGCUUUCUUUUGCUGAACAUCUUUAUUUUACUCAUAAGAAGGAACCGCAAAUCCUCCAGUUUAUAAAUAGCUUGCAACACUUGUCAAGGCAUCUGAGGAUCUUUCAAGAACAGACUAUGACACUUGAUAAUGUUACUCCUGCAACAGGAGAUGGAGGCUUCUAUUCAGGACAAGUUCACAGAAAUUAUAUCCCUGCUACAGAAAGAUGAUUAUCGUUUGGUUUGCAAGCACUGGCAACUGGAUGGAAUUUUUCAAGCUGUCAGCUAAGGAAGUUUUCAACCAAUUACACAAUAAAUUGAAUAAAAACUACAAUGAUUUAAGAAACUGGAAGUCCAGAAGAACUAUUGAUUUUCUUCAUCAGGAAAAAUAUACCAGGAAAUAAAGCCAUAACUUAAUAUAUAAGACUUUUAUUCCUGAGGAGUACAAAGGACACACUUCAGACCCUUGUAGUCCCGACAUGUGUGGUUUCCUCGCACCGGGAAAGCCUGGAAGCGAGCCGCCUGGCCCGGCGCCAAUCCAAACCACGGUCAGUCUAAACACAGCGCCGGCAAACGCUACUUUCUGACACUUCGCUGCUACUGGAGAGUAUCCUUUAGCAUUGAAACCUCAUCAGUGACAGAGAUUUAUACACAACCUCUCAUGCAGCUUCCUUCAUCUCAUCUCUUCCCUCCCCAAACAUGUUUCUAUCAGCCCCACACAGAGGAACCAAAGAGAAAUGCUUGUGUGAUAUCAUCUCAUGUUACCUGGGCAUUUACCUAAGAGGAUAAGUCUAUAAAGUUGCUGAAUGCCCACGGAGAUCUUGGAAAUCGGCACACCAGGAUGAAGAACUUUUCCAUCAGUUUUAGCUAUUUAAAUAUACUUUUCCUUGCUGUUUUGUCUGCAAAGUUAAAGAUUACCUGAAUGGUUAAACUAAGAAGUAUUUGGACCAGCGGGCGAUCAUUUCUUCAGUCUAGAUAUGCAAGUGGUUAUGAAUUUUAUUCCCUUCUUUCAGGUUACCACAGAUACAUAGCCUUACAUUCUCUAUUCAACUCACCAAAUGCAAGUUUUCAGUCCAAUAUAAAGUGAGUCUUUGCUCUACAAUAUCUCUAUUAAAGGGCACUGUCUGAUUGCACACUAAUUCUCCUAGCACAGUCUGUGUUCUGCUUUCCUUGGAAAGCACAACAUCCAUAACGAUCAGUGGUGGUUUGGCUAAAGGGAAAAUGUUACCAGCUUGGAUGGAGGGAAGGAUCACACAGGGUGCUACCGCCUCCAGAAAGCUCUGAACUACUCAAGCCCCACUGAACAUAAUGGGAGGCGACAGCGCUCAGCAUCUCUCAGGAGGUAAGCAGCAUCCCACAAAACCAGAAAUCUGCUUUUCACACAAACAAAAUUUGUUUUCUACGGAAAGCCUAUGCCAGAAACCAACCUGUAGUCUGAAAACCUGCAACAUGAAUAAUGAUGUUACUAAUGCAAUAUCCUGAGGAGGUGCUAGGGUUUGAGUAAACCACUGAGAUGGCAGAGGCAAGUUAAGUGUUUGAUAAAGCAUCCCAGGGAAGAAGUUUCCUGAAAUGCUCAGAAUCUGAAUUUUAAAGAAACUGUCAUACAGAGCACUGAAGAAGUCGAAAUAAGAUAUUCGGCCUGGUAAUGUAUCUCUUCCAUACAACGACAGCAAGUGUUGCGCUCAAACAUGUGGAGCUAAAUAGUCUCCCGUUACACCUGCUAAGCCCCUGCGCUGCAGUUGUAUUAAUUCAGGGUCAGUUACCUCUUCCGAGCUGACAGCAGAACACAGUAAUUUAAAACCUCCUUCUGGUGCUUAAAGAAAAUAUCAAACACAGCUGAGAAUUUAAAUUUUCUUCAGUCAGUAGCAUAUCUAGAACAAACAGGAAAGCAGUUUUCACGUGUGUUCCUGUGCAAGCAUCUGGUUUUCACAUGUAGCAGUCAAUUGUGCUUGCAAGUUCAUCGUGUCUGCUAGAAAUAGUGAAGACUAAAUUGCCAGCUUAUUAUCUGGAGUUAACAUAUUGUCACAGGAUGUGGGCAAGGGAGUAUAGUUGGUCCCAGUGAAAGCUCCUCCUAUCACCAGUAAUUCUAGAUACCAAUACAAAUGUUAAUAUUCAAAAAUUGCCACUAACACUCUUACGAGAAUUUAAACCAUCCAAAUUGCCUCUGCCCUGUUUAAUAUCACAAUAAAGUAAUCCCAGUUAUGCCGGGAGGCAAGGAAAGAGCUGUCUUCAGUUAUCUCGACAGGACUAGGGGCAAUGGGUGCAAACUGAAACAUAAGAGGUUUCAGCUGAAUAUGAGGAAAAAC
Molecule: long non-coding RNA, 6221 nt
Organism: Egretta garzetta (little egret)
Lineage: Eukaryota; Metazoa; Chordata; Aves; Pelecaniformes; Ardeidae
Exons: 3
Source: RefSeq, a predicted model, not a curated record